This 76-nucleotide transfer RNA is filed under the name Brucella thiophenivorans. RNAcentral's name for it is "Ochrobactrum thiophenivorans tRNA-Gln". It matches the Rfam family "tRNA". Rfam says of the family: Transfer RNA (tRNA) molecules are approximately 80 nucleotides in length. Lineage: Bacteria; Pseudomonadati; Pseudomonadota; Alphaproteobacteria; Hyphomicrobiales; Brucellaceae. The record is from RNAcentral.
UGGGGCGUAGCCAAGCGGUAAGGCACCGGUUUUUGGUACCGGCAUCCCCUGGUUCGAAUCCAGGCAACCUCCUCAA